CUCGGCCUAGUUUUGUAAAAACAUGGCGGCAGUGUAUACAUGUGUAUGUGUAUGGAUGUAACUUGUGUUUACCGCGUUGUAUACGAUAAAAUUGUCUGGCUACAAACUGUAAUAUUAAAAAUUUCAACAUGUCAACUUGUGUUCCACACUGUAAAAAUUAUUAUCAGAAAGGCUUUUCACUCUACUCGCUUCCUGCAGAUCUUAUUAGAAGAGCAUUGUGGAUUACCAAUAUUGGGAGACAGGAAUGGAAUUUCUCGAAAAAAUGGUUUAUAUGCGAGGCUGAUACAAGAAAUGUUACAAAUGAAGUCAGCUUUGAAGAUAGUUUCAGAUAAUAAUGAUGAUAAUGGAACUAACCCAAAUCCUUCUAUGGCAAGACAAAACUCAUGUGAAGACAACUUUGAAGUAUAUGUUAUAGAAGCAGAAAAACAAUCUGCAAUAGGAGAAAUAUCAAAACCACAUGCAAUACAUUACGAAAAUGAUUAUGAUACUUUGAAAUGAAGACUUCAAGAUGGUGAAUUGAGAGCACAAGAAGCUACAUUGAAAUUACAGCAAGCAAACGUAAUUAUUAACAGAGUAGAAAGAUCAAGAAGAAUAUUAAAAAAACACAUAAGAAGAUUGACAGAUGAAAAGAAAAAAGCGCACAAGACAAUUUAAAGUCACAACUACCAUUAAAUGUGAGAAGAAUAUUCAACGACGAUCAAAUUCAAAUAUUUCUUGGUCAGAAUCCACGUGGUUUUAAAUGGUCCAACAAUACAAUUCUUAAGGCAUUACAACUGAAAUUUUCAUGUGGCAGCAAUGGAUACAACCAAUUGUUAACUCAAAAUUUGCCUUUACCAUCACAACGCACUUUACGAAGAAAAAAGAAGGCAUUGACUUUGAGCCAGGGAUAUUAGAAGACGUUUUUGAUAUUUUAAAGAAACAAAUAUUUCUGUUUAAAGAUGACCGAGAAAAAGAUGCUGCGAUUGCUAUUGAUGAAAUGAGUAUUGACAAGUACAGAAAGCAAUGCAUGUUUCAGUGAUUAUGAUUGCUGGUAUUUUUUCACGGUGGAAACAGGUUGUAGUCUAUUACUAUACACCCCAUGGAUUUAACGGUGCUACUUUAAAAGCUAUAAUUGAAACAAUAAUUAGAAAAGCAGAAUCUAUGGGUCUAUACAGGGUGUUUGAUAGCUGAUCAUGCAGACGAAAGUUGGAGAUAGAUUGGGUGU
RNAcentral lists this unclassified non-coding RNA (1204 nucleotides) under Harpegnathos saltator (Jerdon's jumping ant). RNAcentral's name for it is "uncharacterized LOC112590160, transcript variant X1". Lineage: Eukaryota; Metazoa; Arthropoda; Insecta; Hymenoptera; Formicidae. The record is from RNAcentral.